Molecule: long non-coding RNA, 824 nt
Organism: Chelonia mydas (Green sea turtle)
Lineage: Eukaryota; Metazoa; Chordata; Testudines; Cheloniidae
Exons: 3
Source: RefSeq, a predicted model, not a curated record
GGGCAGCUCCUGACAGGCAAACCAAAAGCCCCCAAUCAGUAGCCGUUCCUCAAGCUGUCAAUAGUAUGCUGUAGUUUCUCUUGAGACUCUGAGCCAGAUCUCUAUUGUUUUCUCUCUCUCUCUCUCUCUGUUGAGGGAAGAAGGAAGAGACUGCAACCCUGCUCCUAUAGUGUUGCACUACUUCUCGCUAUACUCUGCAUUUAUUACUGCCAUGCAGGGAAAGUCUGAGAGCAAGACACAGCCCAGGCUGACACUGCAGUCCAAUGGAUAGUUCCAGCGAGAACCAUGUGCCUGCCCUGCCAGAAGCUGAAUUCCACUGAACACAAAGGAAGCUGAGGGUGCUCAAAACUUCGCAGAAGGCCUGAAACACCAGUUAGGAUCAAACUCCAGAUUUGUCCUUCUUUCCAGCUCCUCAUCCCUGCAGCUUGCCCACCCCAUUCCCCAGAGGGUCACCACCGGGACCAGCACGUUCUGUUGUUCGAACGCAGCCAUUGUGAAACCCUCACUUCCAGGGGUGGAGUGCACAGUUGUGAUGCUGGACAAUGCUUUCACCUCAUAUUGCCAUCUUCAUUACCAGAGCACACAUCAUUGACCUCCAUGGAUUAAACCUCAUGAGAACCCUACAAGUGCUGCACAGCCCCUUGGAGCCAUCUGCAGUUGGUGUAAGAGUAGCCCUCAUCCUGGAGGAAGGGAGGAGUGCAAAGACUAGUAUUAUGCCACCAGUGACUGAUUGGGAGCUUCCUGAGGCUGUUCAAGAAGACUGUAAUCCAAUGGUCACAGGCUCCUGAAGGAAAGAGCUGCAGAUGCCCACACCUUGGCAGACC